Paramuricea clavata is the source of this 381-nucleotide non-coding RNA. NCBI's taxonomy places the organism in Eukaryota, Metazoa, Cnidaria, Anthozoa, Malacalcyonacea, Plexauridae. The record is from the annotation of a GenBank genome assembly.
UACGUACCGUUUAAAAAAAAUCAUUUUAUGACAAAUAUGUUAUGUUUCUUCAAAACAUCUUUGGUUACAUUCGUGCAAAGAACUACGUUAACAUCAAUGUUUUCAAAAAAGGCAUACAAAAGUGUAGCUAGGGUUCCCUGUGUCUGUAGUAUAUUUAUUUACUUGUAUUUCACGUUUUAAUGCACAGUUCCCUAAAAAGAUUGGUGACCCGGGGAGGGGGGGCGUUUUUUAACUGAUAAUUUAUUUCUUUAAUGCAUUUUACAUUUCAUAUCCGAAAUUAAAAGAAAAAUCAUUUCUGGAUCUUGAAAUAGAAUCCUUUAUCAAUGCAUGUUCUCAAAGAAAGAUAUGUGAAGAAAUGUGGAAAAGACAUUUGUGGAUCAG